RNAcentral lists this ribosomal RNA (301 nucleotides) under uncultured bacterium. RNAcentral describes it as "partial 16S ribosomal RNA". It matches the Rfam family "Bacterial small subunit ribosomal RNA", at positions 509 to 807 of the family's 1533-position model. The record is from RNAcentral.
CAGUAGCCGCGGUAAGACAGAGGAUGCAAGCGUUAUCUGGAAUGAUUGGGCGUAAAGCGUGCGUAGGCGGCUUCUUAAGUCGGAUGUGAAAUCCCUGAGCUUAACUUAGGAAUUGCAUUCGAUACUGGGAAGCUAGAGUAUGGGAGAGGAUGGUAGAAUUCCAGGUGUAGCGGUGAAAUGCGUAGAGAUCUGGAGGAAUACCGAUGGCGAAGGCAGCCAUCUGGCCUAAUACUGACGCUGAGGUACGAAAGCAUGGGGAGCAAACAGGAUUAGAUACCCCGGUAGUCCCUGUCUCUUAUAC